GCUCAACCGUAGUAAGCUCUUGAAACUGGGAGACUUGAGUGCAGGAGAGGAGAGUGGAAUUCCUAGUGUAGCGGUGAAAUGCGUAGAUAUUAGGAGGAACACCAGUUGCGAAGGCGGCUCUCUGGACUGUAACUGACGCUGAGGCACGAAAGCGUGGGGAGCAAACAGGAGUAGAUACCCUGGUAGUCCACGCUGUAAACGAUGAGUACUAGGUGUCGGGGGUUACCCCCCUCGGUGCCGCAGCUAACGCAUUAAGUACUCCGCCUGGGAAGUACGCUCGCAAGAGUGAAACUCAAAGGAAUUGACGGGGACCCG
Molecule: ribosomal RNA, 315 nt
Filed under: Clostridioides difficile
Lineage: Bacteria; Bacillati; Bacillota; Clostridia; Peptostreptococcales; Peptostreptococcaceae
Description: bacterial SSU rRNA
Rfam family: Bacterial small subunit ribosomal RNA
Source: RNAcentral